This 171-nucleotide small nuclear RNA is filed under the name Gopherus evgoodei (Goodes thornscrub tortoise). Its description in RNAcentral is "U4 spliceosomal RNA (ENSGEVG00005015582.1)". It matches the Rfam family "U4 spliceosomal RNA". Rfam says of the family: U4 small nuclear RNA (U4 snRNA) is a component of the major U2-dependent spliceosome. The structure of U4 snRNA from yeast and human has been reported. The record is from Rfam by way of RNAcentral. Lineage: Eukaryota; Metazoa; Chordata; Testudines; Testudinidae.
AGCUUUGCACAGUGGCAGUAUCGUAGCCAAUGAGGUUAAUCCAAGGCGAGAUUAUUGCUAACUGGAAACUUUUACCAGAGUUCUGAUUAACUUUUAACUUUUAACUCCUGCUUCCAAAACACACAGUGAUUUGAAAAAGAAAACACAACCUUUUGUGGCUUCCUUUGGCAA